RNAcentral lists this small nucleolar RNA (87 nucleotides) under Sphenodon punctatus (tuatara). RNAcentral describes it as "Small nucleolar RNA SNORD100 (ENSSPUG00000013133.1)". It matches the Rfam family "Small nucleolar RNA SNORD100". From Rfam's summary of the family: The members of this family belong to the C/D class of snoRNAs which contain the C (UGAUGA) and D (CUGA) box motifs. The record is from Rfam by way of RNAcentral. Lineage: Eukaryota; Metazoa; Chordata; Lepidosauria; Sphenodontia; Sphenodontidae.
GCUGUACGGUGAUGAUAGCUUGGCUCCCUCUACUGAGAGUUGUGAUGAAAGCAGCCAGACGUUACCCAAUAUUGCUGAGUGUACAGC